GUCCAUCUCCUCCCCAUCAUUACUGUAUGUCAUUGAUUAUAUAUUGGAUCACAGUUUAUCAGAAACUAAUUGAAUACAUUAUAUUACUGAAUUUUGAUAAUUUCCAAGCCACAGUACUCUAUUUCUGAGAAUAGUAAUAACAAUUUUGGUGAACAUUCUUUAAGACAAUUCUGCAGUCUUAACAUGGCACAUGGAUUUACAUGAGAGAUAAAUACGGUAUAAUUUACGUAGACUUAAUCUGAUUUCUGAUUUCAAUUUCUCAGUUCAUCACCUUUGACAUCUUCCGUAAUGCACGUUUCCCAUUCAGUAGAACAUUAGUGCAAUACUCCACUGCAAUGUUGUUCAUUUCAAUGUAAGUCGAUAGUUGAGCAUCUGUCAGCAUUAUCUAAAUGUUAGCAUACUCCUUAACAUUUACAUCACUUUUAGAAGACAUACACAUUUAAAAUAUACAGUCUCACCCUUUCACUCUUCUUUGCUUCUUUACUUAUUUCACAAGAGAUUGGUUUGUAGUUAGUUUGCUUUUAAAUUAGGUCAUUAUUAAUAUGCUGGUUUACACAGGUAUAGCACUGUAGAAUCAUAUCACUCUUUGCACAUCAGUAUUUUAUUCAUUCAUUUAUUUUUUUGGAUGGAUAACCUCAGGCUGUUCAAAUUCAAUUACACCAUAACACAUCCAUCAAAAGGAAGAAAAGCAAAAGAGAAAAACUAAAAGCUGAUGCAACGCCAGGUCCUUGAAUGUAUCUCUGUAAUUAAAUUACUGUUAUUCCUGCAAAAAGUACAGUUUAAAUUCAGAGCAGCUGUGCACAGGCUACUCUACUGACAUCUGACUGAUGAAUAUUAUCACGAAAGCACUGACCCUUCUUCAGGAACACAUGUACUUGUAUUCAGAGUUCCCAACAAUGAUGAUUUUCAGUCAUUCAAUACUGAAUAAGUAUUUGUAUAUGGAUAUUACUGGGUAGAAUCUCCAGCAAAAAUUAUUAUAUUUCAUUUUUGUACAGAAGUCAUGUAUUAUUAACAUUUAAAUGCCUGAAAACCAUGAUUUUUUUUCCCCCCUGAUAUUUCCAGGUUUGCCACAUUCAUAUUCUAAAUUUGUGUGGGUGUGUGAUUUUGUUGAUGUUUAAAAAUUUAAUUUGUGGGUCAAUUCCCUCAACAAGUGUAAACACUGUGGAUAUGUGUGGCACUAUCGUAACUUUGCUCUAUUUGUUCGAGAAUCACAAAACAGCAACAUGGGAUCAAUCAAUUACGUGACUUGGGGGCGGGACUAUCGGUUUGUCUGACCAAAGAGAAACAAGGUUUUUGCAAUUCUGUUUAGUAAUGCUUGUGGUACAGAAACUACAGGGAGAAUAAUAAAAGAAGAGCUUUACUAAUAUAUCGUACUUUCUGAGUAAUACACCAAAACAGACUUGUCUCUUCACACACAGCCCUUGAAAUAUAGUUUUCAUUAAAAAUACACUACUUAAACUUUUUGGAUUUCUAUAGCCCUUUGUAAUAGUGUCCUCUUUCUAAAAAAGAACAACAAAAAACCCUCUCUUCAGAAUCAAAUGGUUUCCUUACACCUUUAUGACAAGUAAGACAAUACUUUGUGCACUGAUGUUUUUUUUCUCAAAAAGUACUUUCCUACCUAAAAUGCAUGGCUGUUAACAUCCAAGGCACUUCACAUGCAGGUGCUCAUAGCUGUGUGUUGCUCAUCAGGUGAAUUACCAUAGCGAGUUUCUGCUCCAGCAGUUGAAUAAUCACUUCUGCAUGAGCUGUUCACCUAUAGCACCAUGGCAACAUCAGCUAUUAAAGAAACUACAAAUCUCUAUUCUAGAUUUUAGCAUCAUUCUGUGAGCUAAAAACUAAAAGAUUAAGUAGAAGAUCAACAAGACAUGCUUCAAAAACCAAACAUGCUUUACAUCCAGUGACAUUAUGACUUAAAUUGUUUGACUGAGUGAGUGGUUUUGAACUGAAAUGAUACAUUUUUGCUAGUUUGGGCAAAACUGAAAAGGAGUAGAUUAUCUACUUGAAAUGUAAUCGAUCAUUUAUUCCAAGUUUUACAUAAAUUAUAAGUAUGUUCUGAGUCUAUUGUCAUAUAUUUGAAGGGUUUUCAGGGACACAGACAGAACUGUAAAAACAAUGGAAGCAUAAGAAAAAUAAAGCAAUCAAAACAAAGCUUAAGAAUUACAGAACCACACAACCUGAACACAUUUUAGUACAAAUUUUAAAUAUAAAGAGAAAUGAAGAAUGCAACAAGCUUUUGCACAUACAUCACAAGAAAAAUGCAUGACUUAAGGAAUCACGCAAGAUGUGAUUCAUACAAACAGUAAACAAUUAUCAAUUUUAAUACAAUACUGUCCGAUGAAAAGCACCUCAAAACAGUUGUUUCUGUUUUAGAUCUAAAAGGGUUCAUUAUAGCAUUCACAAAAUAACCAAACAAAAGCUUAACAAAUAGUCUUUUUUAUUUUUAAAUUCCCUGCCUCAAAUAUAUAAACUUGAUUUUCAAACCAAGGCUCUGCAUGUACAGGGUUGAACAUCUUUAAAUUGGAUACGUCUUUUAAGAAAUUGAGGUAUAGUGUCAAGAAAUUUAAUUUGACAUGAAGUUACUUUUCAUCAAGUUUCUUUAGCAUUGUAGAUCCACUGAUUACCACAGCAUCAUUGCUACCUCUUGAGAACAAAAGACAGCUAGUGGAAGACCAUUAAUCCUUCACCAUGUCAGACAUGCCCACAUAUUACUGGACAAAAAAGGAUACUUCAAGUGCUUAAAUUGGUCAAUAUUUACAUAAUGGAUGCUUUAUAAUUACAAAUCUGGAUGGUUUGAAAUGCUUGUUUUAUUUUAUAGCUGGCAGAGACACUUGAUUGAUUGACAUCUUGUGAAGAAAUCUGUUGCACUGUUGGUUUUCAAACCCCCCAAAAAAUUAAAAUAAAAUAAAAUCUAGAGAAAAGACUCUUGAUAGUUAUCAAAUCAAUUUUGAUGCGCAUGCAAGAUUUAAAGGCAAUCAUAAAAGAACAGUAUUGUACAAAAUAAUAAUUACAGUUCUUCCAAAAAAAAAAAACAACCUUUCAAAGCACUUUCAAUAGCACUUUAAGUGUUUGGGUGUUUACUACAAGAGCACACCACUGUGGUUGUCUUGCUCUGAGCAGCACCUGGAGGAGGAUCUGUAAAGAAUACAGGAAAAAACGAACAGGGACGGGAUUGGGAAUUUAUUGGAUUGGGGCUUGGGGCUUGGGGAAGGACUGGGAUCAUGAGUAAUUGGUGCUGGGAUUAAGGUUGAAAUGGGACAAAAAGAAAAUAACAAGCCUUAAAACUUCAAGUGGAGAAAAAACGGUUUUGAAAAUGGGAAAAUAAUCCCACAGACUUUAGAGUGGUUAGAUGUUAAAGGAAUGGGUCCUCCUUCCUCUUCUAAAAGUGUGCCAUUGUCCACCAGGUAGUUUGUGUCCUCUCUCUGUUUUUAUUCCAAUUGCAGGUUUCAGUCGUGUGACUGGGAUCCCACCAGGGCCAUGAAUAUUCCAUUUCCGAUUACACAGUGCAGGUGCUGCUGGUGUGUGUGUUUGUGGCGCGAGGAGGAGGUGGGCAGGGGGUCCCUUGGCUGGCCACACUCCUUGACCCUUGCCAUAAAGGUAGAGGGGAUGUCCUUCAACCGAGAAAACAGACAGGGCCUACCUCAAAGCCAAACCUUUGACUGGAUUCCCCAAAGUCAUUCAACAUGACAUCGAUGAUGGGUACCUGGUCGAUGCGAGGAGUAUUAAUUUCCUCAUCAUUAGAGCCCAGGAAGCGCAGCGCCUUGUCAUAGUUGUCAGCCUUGGCGUCAUACCAGGCCACAGACUGAUGGCAUAUGUAUGUGAAGUUCUGCCGGGCAGAAGAGCUGAGCAACUUGAGGAAUGUCAUCUGGACUGAGUUUAUCGAGCUCUCCUCAACAUCCACAUAAGACAA
Cyprinus carpio carpio is the source of this 3907-nucleotide long non-coding RNA. Lineage: Eukaryota; Metazoa; Chordata; Actinopteri; Cypriniformes; Cyprinidae. The record is from Ensembl.